GCGCUGGCACGGCGGUGGUGAGGCCGAGAUCGUUGGCGGCGGUCAUGCCGUCCACCACGGCGCGCGCCUGGUCGCGUCGGGUGACGGCGCG
Molecule: transfer RNA, 91 nt
Filed under: Alphaproteobacteria bacterium
Lineage: Bacteria; Pseudomonadati; Pseudomonadota; Alphaproteobacteria
Description: tRNA-Ala
Source: RNAcentral